RNAcentral lists this long non-coding RNA (1009 nucleotides) under Canis lupus familiaris (dog). Its description in RNAcentral is "lncRNA (ENSCAFG00040018860.1)". Lineage: Eukaryota; Metazoa; Chordata; Mammalia; Carnivora; Canidae. The record is from RNAcentral.
AUGGGCCUGCUGCCAGUUGAUAGAAAUUUUAUGAUGAUUUUAGAGAUACCUUCUGAUAUGGAGGUACAUGAGAAGGAAGAGGAGAGAAGUCAGUAUCCACUUCUAGCCUGGAAAAACUUGCAACUUUUUUCAAGUGUUUAUAUAAGUGACCAUUUACAAGACUAUUCUAGAGGAAACAUGAUAAAAUAAAUCUGUUGGAAAUGUGGCCUUUUCAAAAUUUUGAGUCAAGAGCCCUUAGUUUAAAUAUUUUGGAUUUUUAAAAUUGUUUUAAAAAAUUAAAAAAAAAUUUUUUUGGAUUUUUAAAAAUAUCUUCUGUUCCUUUCUAAUAUUGAACACCGUUUUUCAUUAUCCAAUACCUUUUCUUCUCAAGGAGAAAUUCUAUGUUCAUAUAAACAAUAGGUAUGUAAAAGCUACUUUUGAUGGGACUAUUCUAAUAGAUUGUUCUCCAGAGUAGGGAAGACAAAUCUUCAAUGCAGUUCAUAAUGGUUGGCCCUGGGUAGUAUACUCCAUGAAUACUGGUUUUUAAUGAAGAGAAGCAAAAACAAAUGAAUGGCCAAUUUGAACAAUAGACACAGAUAUUUUGCUUUGAAAAGGAGCAAAAAUUUCUGCUUAAAAUGACAUCUAUCUAAAAGUUCUUUAUGGAGUAUUUUCCAACCUCCUCUAAAAUGAUUUUAAAGAUAAAAAUGUAGUAAAAUGAAAACACAGCCCAAAUGUAACCCUUAGAGACAACCUGCUGCAGAUACUUGGAGAAAUCCCAAGACACUGAGGUUGCCGAUAUCUGGAUUGAUAACAAUUCAACUACAAAUUUAGCCUAGCUGUAUUUUGCCUACUGUAACAAAACCAACUUCACAAACUUGAAAUAAUGGAAGACAUCUCCCUUUCUUUCUAGGCUCAGAGUUAAGCCCAGGAGAUAAAUCAGCGAGGAAAAAUGUGUAAGCAAUUCCAUUUAGUCAUGUUUUUGGAGGAGAAUUAUACUGUUCUUCUACUCCCAUUUUUUCUCCAUACAAAA